This is a long non-coding RNA of Photinus pyralis (common eastern firefly), 534 nucleotides long. RefSeq lists it as uncharacterized. The transcript has 3 exons. The record is from RefSeq and is a predicted model, not a curated record. NCBI's taxonomy places the organism in Eukaryota, Metazoa, Arthropoda, Insecta, Coleoptera, Lampyridae.
UUUACAGCCAGUAUCCAGUACAAAUAUUGGAGCAUAUUAUAAUUCCUGCGCCGCUACCACCGUCAAAUACUCAAACGCAGCCGCCAGAAAUGGUAGCUUUACAUCCACAAUCCGCGAUGGGUGCAUCAAUUUCCAAAUAAUCCAGCUCAACAACAACCAAAUUUACCACUACCUGUAAAUAACGGCGGCAACAAUCACUUUCAUGCCCCGUUGCCUAGGGGGGAAAAAGAUAUGCAAUUACUAAAAGAAUUUAUAAAAACGUCUUCAGCCGCCAUCGACCAAGAAGCGGCGCCACCACCACCACCGUCGCCAUCUGAUGAACCGCCCAGAUGGCACGAGCCGUCUACACCCCCCAAGAGCUGGCGAGGGUUAUCCAUGGGGUGUCUGAAGAAGAUGCUGACAAUUUUCCAGGCCAGACAAAGAAAUUCCCAACUCCAGACGGAGCGUUUUGAACGGGAAUUGACUGCAUCACGGCUUCAAGAUGAAAACCUGCAUCGAGAGAUGAAAUUUAUUAUACUAAUUUUUCUUUUUAAA